GUUGAAGCUCAAGUUUGCAGGCCUAGUGGCAAAAUCAUAGGAAAGAAACCUCCUCAUGGAAAAUGCAACACGGAGGACGACUCCGAUUGUUGCUUUAAAGGCAAGAUCUACACAACUUACAAGUGCUCACCCCAAGUGUCUAGCCACACCAAGGCAGUUCUAACCCUCAACAGCUUCGAGAAGGGAGGGGAUGGCGGCGGUCCAUCAGAAUGUGACAAGAAGUAUCACUCUGAUGACAGACCAAUUGUUGCACUAUCAACCGGCUGGUUCAACAGAAAAUCCAGGUGCCUCAACAACAUUACUAUAAGUGCUAAUGGGAGGAGUGUGGUGGCAAUGGUUGUCGAUGAAUGCGACUCGACGAUGGGAUGCGAUGAAGUCCAUGAUUAUCAGCCUCCAUGCGCUGACAAUAUUGUUGAUGCCUCAAGAGCAGUUUGGGAAGCAUUGGGAGUUCCGAAAAACGACUGGGGAUAUAUGGAUAUUACUUGGGCUGAUGCUU
Molecule: long non-coding RNA, 496 nt
Filed under: Prunus dulcis (almond)
Lineage: Eukaryota; Viridiplantae; Streptophyta; Magnoliopsida; Rosales; Rosaceae
Description: sRNA ncRNA
Source: RNAcentral